ACCACAGCCAAGGGAACGGGCUUGGAAUUAUUAGCGGGGAAAGAAGACCCUGUUGAGCUUGACUCUAGUCUGGCAGUGUAAGGAGACAUAAGAGGUGUAGAAUAAGUGGGAGAUGGCUUGCUAUCGACAAUGAAAUACCACUACUCUUAUUGUUUCCUUACUUACUUGAUUAAAUGGAACGUGUAUUUUCACAUAGCCAUUAUAUGGAUAUUUUAUUAUAUUUUAUGGUAUUUUGUUUUAAUACAAGCUUCUUGAUCCAAAUACUAAGAGUUUGUUAUAUAGACCAAACAAAUAUUUUGAAUUAUUAUGCAGGUUAUAUCUUCGGAUUGAUUUGUAUAGUAUAGUAAUUAUAUUUGGUAUAACUCCAAUACUCCGGUAUGAUCCAAUUCAAGGACAUAGUCAGGUGGGGAGUUUGACUGGGGCGGUACAUCUUUCAAAUAAUAACGAAGG
Molecule: non-coding RNA, 450 nt
Filed under: Megaselia scalaris
Lineage: Eukaryota; Metazoa; Arthropoda; Insecta; Diptera; Phoridae
Description: Eukaryotic large subunit ribosomal RNA
Rfam family: Eukaryotic large subunit ribosomal RNA
Source: Rfam by way of RNAcentral